RNAcentral lists this ribosomal RNA (253 nucleotides) under uncultured bacterium. RNAcentral's name for it is "partial 16S ribosomal RNA". It matches the Rfam family "Bacterial small subunit ribosomal RNA", at positions 524 to 776 of the family's 1533-position model. The record is from RNAcentral.
UACGUAGGGUGCGAGCGUUAAUCGGAAUUACUGGGCGUAAAGCGUGCGCAGGCGGUUUUGUAAGCCAGAUGUGAAAUCCCCGGGCUUAACCUGGGAAUGGCAUUUGGGACUGCAAGGCUGGAGUUUGGCAGAGGAGACUGGAAUUCCCGGUGUAGCAGUGAAAUGCGUAGAUAUCGGGAGGAAUACCGAUGGCGAAGGCAGGUCUCUGGGCUGACACUGACGCUCAUGCACGAAAGCGUGGGGAGCAAACAGG